GCUCCAGCAGCUCAUUUCCGCCGGACGCGGGGCGUCUGGGAGGAUAGAGGCUAUGCGGAGGUCGCGGCUGAGUCUGAGCCGCCGGAGGCCGCCCUCUGGGGCCGGGCCUCCGAGCAAUACCUCCGGGUCCCUCCCGGAUGGCGGCGAGUGCGCGAAGCUGUGGACUGAGUUGCUGCGCACCGCGAGCGCAGACCUGAACGAGGACGGCGAGCUGCCGCCGCUGCCCGCGUUCCCCGGUCAGGAGCCCAAGCGCAGUCCUGAGCGCCCGCCCCUGGAAAGAUUCACCGUGGGAACCGAGACCUUUUUCUGGACGCCCUUCCCGCCGCCCCCGCCGGGGCGAGGCGGGGACUCGGGCAGCUCCGACCUUGUGCUCAGCGCGGUCCGGGGGCACACGAGGUCCCCCCAACAAUAUGCAGCGCCCGAGCUCCGCGGAACCCCCAGCGCCGAGGAGCAGCUGUCAGAGGAGCAGCCCUCCCAGCGACAGCCGACAGUGGACGGUGCGACGACCCUGCAGAGCUGUCCCAUGUGCCAAGUCGACUUCGUCCCCGGGCUGGCGCAGCUGGACAUCGACAGCCACCUGGCCCAGUGCCUGGCAGACAGUACGGAUGACAUAGAGUGCGGUGUGAUGACUGAGGUGGACAGGGGCACCCAGCAGACGGACCAACCCCAGGUGAACCUGUUCCUGCAGCUGCAGGGAGGCAGAGCAGCCCCUGGAAUUUGCGGAGAGGGAUCAGGUCCGCCUGCUGACGUCCUGUGUGAGCUUUGUCUUGGAGGCCCUGUGCAGGGGGGCUUCUCUCUUGUGACGUCAGUCCAUAGGUUCUGGAAGAGCCUCAUCUUCAGCGCAGCCAUGGCUGCAAAAGUCUAAGGUUACCGUCCAGAAGUCAGUAUUUUCAAGAAAGGCUUCAGGCAAGCCAUGAAAAGACACGGGGGAAAACUCCGUGCACACAGUACAGUGAAAGGCUACAAGCUGAGCAACUCCAACUCUAGGCUGUUCUGGAAAAGGCAGAACGCAUGGAGACAGCGAAACGAUCAGCAGUUAUCAAGGAUUAGUGGGGAGAGCAUAUAAACAGGCAAGAGUACAGAGGAUUUUCAGGGCAGGGAAACACUUUAUGACUUGACGUGUCAGUGCAGCCUGUCAUUUGCAACAAGUGCAUUCCCUGGGGAUGUGAAGGUGGGGGCUGGGGAGAAGGGGUCUCUGUCUUCCUCCCCACCAGAAAUGGAAGUGAGGGACCUAAAACUGCUCUGAAAAAUAAAACUUGUUUUUAAGAAGCAUCUUCGGAAGCCUUUGUUCCUGGAAACACCACUUUUAAUGAAAAUGACGACAGCACGCGUUGUCAUUAAAGUUUUUAAUAAAACGUGCAAGACUUGAGCAGCUGUGGCCCUGGUGGGCAUGCCCUCUGCAAAAGGAAGGCCAAGGCCAUGGCCCACCACUCACUGUACAAAACCACAGAACGUGUCUCCUGCUUCACAGUCCUGAAGGCACCUGUUUCCAAGAACCGUAUCAGAGGACACGCCGUGUUGUGACUGGAGCCGCUGGACCCACCUGGGCACAUCCUUCGCCUUCUAAAUUUAUAAAAGCAUGGGACCAUGCACAAAAUCACCCUGGCCGGGAACCCAGGUUACACACAGGUCUGUACACCAGCAACCACACUGGCGACUGGGAGGCUGUAUCGCACCACCGCAGCGUUGACAUCAAUGCCGUAAGUGUGAACAAAUCUGCAGCCCCUGUACUGUCUGAGCAGAGGUGUCACUGUCCCUGAGGCGGCACGUGACCCCGUUGUGGGCACACUGGGGUCUCCCCAGGUGACUGCAUAGCCCUCCUGAUGAUGUCACCACAGAGUUACCACACCCACCAGGCCCAGGCAGCCCUGAGUCUGGCCCAGGGUCCCUCACUUCCAUUUUUGGGGGGGUGGGGAGGUGCAAGUCUCCACGUUCUAGAGGUGCUGCUCUGCCAUUGGGGCCUGGCUGGGGUGCCCAGGGAGUCUGGGGGCACCCAGGGAGGCUGGUGUGUCUGUGCAGGGUCAGGCCAAGCCAGCAGCCUUUUUAUUUUCAACUGUUAUCUGCCCCAGGCCGCUGCCACACUGGGAGAAAUGAAGCCCAAGGGUGCAUGGCAAUGUGGGACCCACACCCACAAAGGACAUCCAGGGACCACUGUCCUGAGGGUGCACAAGGCCUUCCUCCCCACUCUGCCUGGCCCGAGCCACACUUGACAAUAUCAGGGACUUAAAAAACCCACAUGAUUUACCUCUUUCUAAAAAACCUUGGGUUCAGCUUUUUACCUAAGUAGGAGGGUGGCCCGGGCUCAUGGGAAGGAGGAGGUGAGCCCCACCGGGAGGUGCACCCUUCUGAAUGUUCUAAAUUUUAUUCCUUUACUUUAAGGCUAGGGCCCAUCAUACACAUACCCUUUAAAAAUGUCUAAUUCUCAGCAUUAUUAUUCCUGAUAAAAAUACUCUCCAAAAAUCUGAUACAUAACACAAGACAUAAUGUAGGCACUGCUUAGUGUUUCCAGAAAUAUAUUUUGUGCAGAUUUCUUUUUCAACUUCGUGGGUUUUUUUUUUUUUUUUUUUUUUUGGUUUGCGGGUACUUUGGUGAGCCUUGUUUUAGAACCUCUAUGACCCAAUUUUCCUGGUCAGUCUAAGGCCCGGGUUGGGACCGAUGGAGCCCACCUGGCGAAGGUGUGACCUGGGCAUCAGACCACAGGAACUGCUGACAUGCUCGGCACUUACACUCCGGCCGUGCCUCCUCCGCGUGGGCCGCGCCUGCGACUCUGGGCGGGUGCCCCCCGCGGAAAAAAGGCAUCAGAGGGAAGCGCCAGCAUCAGAGGGACACUUUAUUCCUCGGGACAUUACAGGCCAACUCCCGGUGGAGCAGUGUAGGAGAAAUUUCCGCCGAAGUCAGAAAAACUCUACUUGAGCUGAAAAGUGCUGGCAGCACAGGCCAUGAGAGACAUACCCCACGCCAUCGAGGGCCUGCAACCCUGCUCCUUAAACCAAUGGAGGCUGGCUUAGGGAGCUUUAAUCUUGGAACCCCAGUGGUGUCUGCUGCACACGGGUGCUGGGCCAGGCCUCCUCCUCAGACCUCAGAGAGAGCCACACUGAGGCAUGGGGGUGCCUGCCUGGAGGGACCGUCCCCGUCACAAGGGAAUCUGGAGCCAGAGGAGAGCCAGCCCUCUAGUUGGACCACUGUGCUCUCACAGCCGGGACAGCUUGAUUCAGGGGGUGGAUGACCUCGGCCUUUCAGGACUGGCUGCUGCCUUCCCUUGGAGGGUCCUGAGUGAGCCAGCCUGGAAACUCCCACCUGGGUGAGGCCUCCAUGUGACCAGGUUGGAGACAUGGUCCAAGGUCCCGUGUAGGGAGACAGCUCCAGCCAAGUCAGAAAUAAGCCUCCAGUCCACCUCAGCUCAUACCCUGUCUUUGCACUGUGGGGCCAGGGCCCUUAGGAACACCACUUAUGGCAACAAAAGCAAACUGGGCCCGGAAAGUUGAAACAGGUCCCAUAACUUUGGGGGAUUUGGGAAGCUGAACACACAGGUUCUGCUAACGAAGUUGGUGCAGGAAGUGAGAGUGUCACAGAGAUGAAUCCCCCAGUCACGCCCGGUAGUGUCAAGGCUGCAGCCAGCACACCCAGGCCACCUGGAGAGGCACGCUUAUCUCUGUCACCCAGGGGAUGCAGGAGGGGGAUGCGGAACAGAGGGGAUGGGCUGACCCCACUGGCAGAAGGGGGCUACCAGUGUGUGUAUGUGCAUGCGUGCAGGUGCCCACAUGCCCAUGUGCACGCUGCGAUCCCAGGGCCCCGGGAGCUGGUGGGCAUGGCCACACCCUGGACACUCUUCUGGGGACAUAAGGCCUUCCCUUCUCCCCCAGCCUUCUGUCAGGCAAGUUUCCAUAUUCUUGUUAGCAUGAAAUAUAUUCAGAUAAAAAGGGGAAAAAGGAA
This is an RNA transcript of Capra hircus (goat), 3933 nucleotides long. It is a transcript of the gene named Fanconi anemia core complex associated protein 20, with no coding region annotated. Lineage: Eukaryota; Metazoa; Chordata; Mammalia; Artiodactyla; Bovidae. The record is from RefSeq and is a predicted model, not a curated record. The transcript is spliced from 9 exons.